Molecule: long non-coding RNA, 216 nt
Filed under: Mytilus galloprovincialis (Mediterranean mussel)
Lineage: Eukaryota; Metazoa; Mollusca; Bivalvia; Mytilida; Mytilidae
Source: RNAcentral
UCCCAAGUCAGGAGCCUCUGGCCUUUGUUAGUCUUGUAUUAUUUUAAUUUCAGUUUCUUGUGUACAAUUUGGAAAUUAGUAUGGCGUUCAUUAUCACUGAACUAGUAUAUAUUUGUUUAGGGGCCAACUGAAGGACGCCUCCGGGUGCGGGAAUUUCUCGCUACAUUGAAGACCUGUUGGUGACCUUCUGCUGUUGUUUUUUCUAUGGUCGGGUUG